RNAcentral lists this ribosomal RNA (433 nucleotides) under uncultured bacterium. RNAcentral's name for it is "partial 16S ribosomal RNA". It matches the Rfam family "Bacterial small subunit ribosomal RNA", at positions 29 to 507 of the family's 1533-position model. The record is from RNAcentral.
AACGAACGCUGGCGGCAUGCCUAAUACAUGCAAGUCGAACGAGAGCUUCGGGUCUAGUGGCGCACGGGUGCGUAACGCGUGGGAACCUGCCCUUAGGUUCGGAAUAACUCCCCGAAAGGGGUGCUAAUACCGGAUAAUGUCUUCUGACGAAAGAUUUAUCGCCUUUGGAUGGGCCCGCGUUGGAUUAGCUAGUUGUUAGGGUAAAAGCCUACCAAGGCGACUAUUCAUAGCUGGUCUGAGAGGAUGAUCAGCCACACUGGGACUGAGACACGGCCGGGACUCCUACGGGAGGCAGCAGGGGGGAAUAUUGGACAGUGGGCGAAAGCCUGAGCCAGCAAUGCCGCGUGAGUGAUGAAGGCCUUAGGGUUGUAAAGCUCUUUUACCCGGGAAGAUAAUGACAGUACCGGGAGAAUAAGCUCCGGCUAACUCCGUG